This 468-nucleotide ribosomal RNA is filed under the name uncultured bacterium. RNAcentral describes it as "partial 16S ribosomal RNA". It matches the Rfam family "Bacterial small subunit ribosomal RNA", at positions 28 to 507 of the family's 1533-position model. The record is from RNAcentral.
GACGAACGCUGGCGGCGUGCUUAACACAUGCAAGUCGAACGGAAAGGCCCUGCUUUUGUGGGGUGCUCGAGUGGCGAACGGGUGAGUAACACGUGAGUAACCUGCCCUUGACUUUGGGAUAACUUCAGGAAACUGGGGCUAAUACCGGAUAGGAGCUCCUGCUGCAUGGUGGGGGUUGGAAAGUUUCGGCGGUUGGGGAUGGACUCGCGGCUUAUCAGUUUGUUGGUGGGGUAGUGGCUUACCAAGGCUUUGACGGGUAGCCGGCCUGAGAGGGUGACCGGCCACAUUGGGACUGAGAUACGGCCCAGACUCCUACGGGAGGCAGCAGUGGGGAAUAUUGCACAAUGGGCGGAAGCCUGAUGCAGCAACGCCGCGUGCGGGAUGACGGUCUUCGGGUUGUAAACCGCUUUCGCCUGUGACGAAGCGUGAGUGACGGUAAUGGGUAAAGAAGCACCGGCUAACUACGUG